CGUAACGAUGGGGGCGCUGUCUCUACCCGAGACUCAGUGAAAUUGAAAUCGCCGUGAAGAUGCGGUGUAUCCGCGGCUAGACGGAAAGACCCCGUGAACCUUUACUACAGCUUCGCGCUGGACUCUGAAUUAAUCUGUGUAGGAUAGCUGGGAGGCUAUGAACUCGGGACGCCAGUCUCGAGGGAGCCAACCUUGAAAUACCAGCCUGGUUAAUUUGGGGUUCUAACCUCGCACCGUUAUCCGGUGCAGGGACAGCGCGUGGUGGGUAGUUUGACUGGGGCGGUCUCCUCCCAAAGAGUAACGGAGGAGCGCGAAGGUACCCUCGGAACGGUCGGAAAUCGUUCCAUGAGCGCAAGGGUAGAAGGGUGCUUGACUGUGAGACUGACAAGUCGAACAGGUACGAAAGUAGGUCCUAGUGAUCCGGUGGUUCUGUAUGGAAGGGCCAUCGC
This 449-nucleotide ribosomal RNA is filed under the name Pteridomonas danica. RNAcentral's name for it is "partial Bacterial large subunit ribosomal RNA". It matches the Rfam family "Bacterial large subunit ribosomal RNA", at positions 2000 to 2448 of the family's 2925-position model. Lineage: Eukaryota; Dictyochophyceae; Pedinellales. The record is from RNAcentral.